Molecule: long non-coding RNA, 2793 nt
Organism: Microplitis mediator
Lineage: Eukaryota; Metazoa; Arthropoda; Insecta; Hymenoptera; Braconidae
Exons: 3
Source: RefSeq, a predicted model, not a curated record
GCGCGCAGCGAAUGUGGAAUUUGCCUCAUGUCAUAGAGUGGGGGUAGGGAUAUCCGGUCAUCCGGUGCGGAGCAUGCUGAGAUCGAUGAAAUGUUCACUAGAUCAUUGGUAGCAUGUGGCUCAAUAGGGAUUAUAGCCAAGAAGGAAAGAAAAGAAUUGUUACAUUGGUUAAUGGUGGAUCAAGACGCUUUGUAAUAAAAUAAAAUGUAUUAAUUAUUAUAAAAAAAUAAUAAUGUCGGAAGAUAAAGCUGAGUUUUGUGCUUUAACUCGUCUACGGAUAAAAUUUACCGAGGAACAGCGAAAGAUUAUUGAUGGCAUAAAGGCUUCUAGAAAAGAGAGGUUACAACCUCGGACGAGAGGAUUUAAUGAGGAACCGAAGCAUCAUACGGCACGAGUUAAUUUUACAGAGGGUGUCAUUCAGCAAGCGGGAGAAACAAGUGAAGAUAAAAAGUCGGAUGAAGAUAAAAAUUAUGAAGAAGAUGACGCUGAUCAAGAUGUAUCAAAUAAUUCAAGUGAUUUAGAGGAAGAAGUACCACGUACGCCAGUGGGUAUACUCCCUGGGCUGAGAUUAAAACGUCCGCCAGCAAUUCCGUCUUUAAUGAAAAUUGAAGGAGGUAAAUAUAAAAUACACAGUAUACACCAAAGACAUUGAAGCCAUGCUGCUGCUCUAAAUGGGUUUCGAGCCAGGUAAAGGAUUGGGUAAAUCUUUACAAGGUAUCAAUGCUUCAGUCCAGUCCAAAAUUACCGGACGAGUACUACAAUGAUUAUAAAACAUGAGCUGGGUAAAUUAGGGAGCAGUGUGGUUGUGCCGAAAUUCAAGAGUUGUCUGGCUAGUUGGAACCUGCUGCUGGAGCCAAUAUAUUAUUUUAAGUCAAUGAAAGAGUGGAAAGACAUACUGAGCAUUGGUAAUAAUGUUAUACAAGCUAGGACUUCAAUGAGUCCACGUGAUCAGCUGACUUGGAAUGCAUGAAUGCCAUCGAUUCACGAAGCAGUUCAAUUGGUGCUGUGGCUUAAUCAUUCUCCAAAUUAUGACCAGAUAACGCACUGGCACAUGGAGUGGAAAAAAUACUGAAUGACGGACUCUUCCUAAUUUACAAGUCUCGAGAGAACACAGCCAGUUCCUCAAAUUCCUGCCUCAGCUCAACCACGUAUUGAGAGAUUCGCCGAAGCUGAACGUACUGCUUCGCAAAUACCUCAAGGCUUCAAAGAUCUUGUGCAAAAAGAGUACGAAGAACGUGGGAUCCGUAAAUUGGCAACGCACAGGUCUACAUCAACGGAAACGUUCUUUUCUUCAAUGAUAAAACGACUAAUUGGGUUCCUACUCAUCCCAACGCCUUAUUAGACAUGGCAGGACUCUAAUCAGUGAUAAGAAAUUUCUAAUUGAAAGUAUUUAUCAUUUUUUUUACACAUAUUAUUGUUAUUUAAUUUUUUAUUUUGUCUGGAAAACGGUUGAUUGUUGGCCAACCUCAUAAAGUUCGUUGCUUUUACGCCCAAAAAUAUUAUUUAUCUGUUUAUUUUUUUUUUUCGUAAAAUUAAUUAGAUAUAAAAAAAACGAUGCUCGAUUAAAGUAACCAGUUUUAAGAAUUUAAUUAUUCACGAUAACUAGCAACGAUAUUAAUUCAUUUAAAAAUUUUUAUUAACGAUUGAUUCGAUUGACCAAAGUUUAGUUAAUACUUUUUAAACUAUUUACCAAAUACAGGGAAUUGAAUUUAUGUUUUAAAAUUUCGGAUGAAAAUAUCUCCGAAACACACGAAAAUUAUGAUAAUUUUUGCGACAGUCAGAAAGGCCUAUCAUGAUAAAUGGAUUUUAUAUUUAGGUUAUUUCGCUAUUUGGGUUAAGAGUUAUUCAAUGAAAAAUGAAGAAAAUCAUUUUUAUUUAAAUCGUUUCCUUGUGACUCCCUGGAGUUCUGUCGGCUUUUGGUCUGCCGACGCGAAUUAUUCAAAUUAGACGUGACUGUAGAUCUUCUGAUACAUAAAAAAAUUGAACAUUAAAAAAUUAUUAGAAAGAUGCUUUUAUGUAAACAUUUUUCAAGACCAAAUGUUCGUGCUUAUAAUUAAACAUAAUUAAAGAAUGGAAAUUAAAUAAUAAACUUGAAAACAUAGUUAGUUGAGUUAAAAUAAAGGUAAGUUUAAGCAAGAGGAAAAAAUCCUCGCUGGAAUAUAUUCCAAUAUAAUAAUUUUUUAAUAUUCAAUUUUUUUAUGUAUCUAAUUUAUUGAGAAAAAAAAAUAUCUACAGAAUUUUGUAUUGAUCAUUUCUUAUGCGAUAGAAAUUGUUAUAAUAAAAAUUAUCUUCUCUAUAGAUCUAAUUAAAUUUUUUCAUUAUUUAAACAAAUCAAUUAGUUAGAUAUAUGACAUUAUUUUAAAACACAUGAAAUCGCAACUAAAAAAAAAAACAAAAAAAAAUUUAUUUACAGUGUACCAGGAUUAAUCUUUAAAUUAUUAAUUUAAAAUAAACUUACACAAUUAAUUUACAAAUUUAAUUAAUUAGUUCUUUUAUAAUUACAGCAAUCUGUUUUCAAAACAGAUUUUGUUUUUUGCUAACAAUAAAGAGUACAAUUAACUGUCGUCGGUAUUAUAGUUUUUGGUGUUAUUGACUGUCCACGGAAGUUGGCAAUGUAGAACUUAAUCGAUCUUUAGAUAAUAGAACUUUAUAUAUACUCUAUGUUUCGAUGACAAUGAUUGUUUUCAUUUAUUUUAAUACCACAAAAAAGUUAGCGGCGAGUAUUUUUUUAUGGAAUCAAAUGAUACCUCAAUUAAUUGCUCCUUAAAAGCUCUUUCAGAAUCUAUAAUUGCU